CUGGUCCCCCUCAUCCCUUGCUGGGCACUUUGAGGAGGAGCAGAACCAAGAAACAGGACUCGCAGAGGCCUCAGACCUCCCCUACUCAAAGUUCAGGGACUCGGAGCCUGGGAGGCUGGGGUGGGAGGGAGGAAGGAGGCGGCGCUGGCCGCUAAAUUUGUUCAUCCUGUCAGUCCCUUAAUCUGAUCCCCGAGGAACAACGCAGAGGCUUCACUCUGGAUGACAAACGAGGAGGGGAGAGGCCUGCCCUGCCUGGACUCUGGGUCUUUUCUGAAUGGACCUGACCAUUUCGAAGAACAGAAUGGCAAUUUCACAUGGUGCAACCGGGGAGGUGAACCUCCCAGCCCAGAGCCGGCCUGCAGCGGCACUCACCCCAGCAGCUGUCGUAGCGGAGCAAGCCUGCGUCCUCUAUAAACCCAGAGAUGGCUGUUAUCAUCCUAUUUCACAGAUUGAGAACUUGAGGUUGAGAGAGGAUGAUGGGUAUUAGUUUCCUGGAGCUGCCGUCACUGGCUUCAAACAACAGAAAUUUGUUCUCUCACAGUCCUGGAGGCUAGACGUCCAAAAUCAAGGUGUCGGCAGGAGGCACCUGGGUGGCUCAGUUGGUUAAGCAUCUGACUCUUGGCU
RNAcentral lists this long non-coding RNA (624 nucleotides) under Lynx canadensis (Canada lynx). RNAcentral's name for it is "lncRNA (ENSLCNG00005010753.1)". The record is from RNAcentral. Lineage: Eukaryota; Metazoa; Chordata; Mammalia; Carnivora; Felidae.